AAUUUGAGAUGAAGUAUGAACAUAAGUGUAUCGGUAAAAACCUAAUCUUUCUUGGGUUUGAUUGUUUAAUUCUUCUUUAUAUUCAUUUUUGAUUAGUUGAUAAAAUUGAAAAUUAUAUAAAAAAACAUUCAUUGAAUAUAUCCAUAGUUCCAUAAUCUUGAUUUUUUAAGUUACCCGUGUCUAAGAAGAUUCUGGGUCUGGACUGUCAAAGUAUUAACGUUUGCAAAAUCUCAACCCUUUUGUCACAUCAUAAGUUAAUUUUGCUAAAGGCUUGCAAUGUGGAUUUAUUGUUGCAGAUUAAAUCCAUUUUCUUUAAGUUGUGGCGUUGAUAUCUUUACCAAAAUUAUUUCCAAAUAGUCAAUUGUAGUCAUUCACUAAGAAAAGAAUUUAUCUGAACUUGUCACUAUCCAUGUCUUCUUUUACAUAUAAUUUUUGUGUUUUUUUAAUCUCAGAUUUGGCAAGCCCACAAAGAACUCUAAAAAAACUUGCAAUUUACUUUUGUUAAGCAGAAGACUCCACUUUUUGACUAACUCGACCUUCUAAAUUUUGUUGACGGUUCGAGUGAAGAUGCAAAGUUCUCAGAUGAUUUUGAUGUGGUUUAUGUCGGAAGUAGCUGCUCUCUUUUGGUUGCAGACAGAAGAAACCAGGCAAUUUGAGAUAUCCAACUCUGUGAAGAUGAUUGUGUCUACCACUACAAUGGGAAUCAACAUCUAGGGAUAGCAGUACUUGUUGCAACCGGGUUCUUUGGUUACAUGAUGGCCUUGCUACAACGUAGAGUUUGGGCUAUGUUUUCAUCCCCGAGUGUCCUGGAUUUGGGUAAUUCAAAUAUAUAGAGAUUUGGGUUAUAAGAUUUGUUGGAGAAUUCUAGCCAACUCUAGGUUGUUGAGAUGUUCUGUUCAAGUACUUGGUUGUUUGGAGUUGUCCUUUUUGUGUGGCUGUGUUGCUCUUGUAUGCUUAAUGGAGCAGAUGGCUAGAUUACAGACCCAACAAAAGGUAAUCCCUUGAAUUAGCUUUUGUUAAUUUAUAGGCCCUUAUCAUUUUCCAUGUUUUUCACCAAUUUAGUUGUAUUAGUAUGAUGGCAAUCUUGGCUGCAAUUCUUG
Non-coding RNA from Camellia sinensis, 1100 nucleotides. The record is from RefSeq and is a predicted model, not a curated record. Lineage: Eukaryota; Viridiplantae; Streptophyta; Magnoliopsida; Ericales; Theaceae.